This 77-nucleotide transfer RNA is filed under the name Pseudomonas phage REC. RNAcentral describes it as "tRNA-Gly". It matches the Rfam family "tRNA". From Rfam's summary of the family: Transfer RNA (tRNA) molecules are approximately 80 nucleotides in length. Their secondary structure includes four short double-helical elements and three loops (D, anti-codon, and T loops). RNAcentral also lists the same sequence under 1 other name. The record is from RNAcentral. Lineage: Duplodnaviria; Heunggongvirae; Uroviricota; Caudoviricetes; Vandenendeviridae.
GCGUGCAUCGUAUAGUCAGGUUAUUACCUCCGGCUUCCACCCGGAUGACUACGGUUCGAAUCCGUAUGCCCGCACCA